AGCGAACGCUGGCGGCAGGCCUAACACAUGCAAGUCGAACGAACUCUUCGGAGUUAGUGGCGGACGGGUGAGUAACACGUGGGAACGUGCCUUUAGGUUCGGAAUAACUCAGGGAAACUUGUGCUAAUACCGAAUGUGCCCUUCGGGGGAAAGAUUUAUCGCCUUUAGAGCGGCCCGCGUCUGAUUAGCUAGUUGGUGAGAUAAAGGCUCACCAAGGCGACGAUCAGUAGCUGGUCUGAGAGGAUGAUCAGCCACAUUGGGACUGAGACACGGCCCAAACUCCUACGGGAGGCAGCAGUGGGGAAUCUUGCGCAAUGGGCGAAAGCCUGACGCAGCCAUGCCGCGUGAAUGAUGAAGGUCUUAGGAUUGUAAAAUUCUUUCACCGGGGACGAUAAUGACGGUACCCGGAGAAGAGCCCCGGCUAACUUCGUG
RNAcentral lists this ribosomal RNA (432 nucleotides) under uncultured bacterium. RNAcentral's name for it is "partial 16S ribosomal RNA". It matches the Rfam family "Bacterial small subunit ribosomal RNA", at positions 29 to 507 of the family's 1533-position model. The record is from RNAcentral.